Molecule: transfer RNA, 76 nt
Filed under: Pseudomonadota bacterium
Lineage: Bacteria; Pseudomonadati; Pseudomonadota
Description: tRNA-Arg
Rfam family: tRNA
About the family: Transfer RNA (tRNA) molecules are approximately 80 nucleotides in length. Their secondary structure includes four short double-helical elements and three loops (D, anti-codon, and T loops).
Source: RNAcentral
GGGCGAUUAGCUCAGUGGAUAGAGCGUUGGUCUCCGGAACCAAAGGUCGCGGGUUCGAUCCCCGCAUCGCCCUCCA